This is a non-coding RNA of Caenorhabditis elegans, 21 nucleotides long. The record is from Ensembl. Lineage: Eukaryota; Metazoa; Nematoda; Chromadorea; Rhabditida; Rhabditidae.
UUCGGAAGCUAAACUCUGCUU